UUCAAGGUCGCUUUGGUGGGGGCA
Molecule: microRNA, 24 nt
Filed under: Equus caballus (horse)
Lineage: Eukaryota; Metazoa; Chordata; Mammalia; Perissodactyla; Equidae
Description: eca-miR-9011
Source: miRBase by way of RNAcentral